Molecule: ribosomal RNA, 328 nt
Filed under: Allapsidae sp.
Lineage: Eukaryota; Cercozoa; Glissomonadida; Viridiraptoridae
Description: SSU rRNA
Rfam family: Eukaryotic small subunit ribosomal RNA (bases 109-328)
Source: RNAcentral
GAUUUCUGGUAUGGUGCGCCUGAUCGACUGGGGCAACUCAGCCUGUAUUGGUGUGCGCCUGCCUUCUAUGGAGUGUCUCCUUAGCUGCACUUAACUGGGCGGUUAAGGUCAAAAGCCUCCAUCUUUUACUUUGAAAAAAUUAGAGUGUUUCAAGCAGGCGUUUUGCUAUGAAUACAUUAGCAUGGAAUAAUGAGUUAGGACUUCGGUUCUAUUUUGUUGGUUUCUAGGACUGAAGUAAUGAUUGAUAGGGAUAGUUGGGGGUGCUAGUAUUCAGCGGCCAGAGGUGAAAUUCUUGGAUUCGCUGAAGACUAACUUAUGCGAAAGCAUU